This 390-nucleotide ribosomal RNA is filed under the name Lauderia sp. RNAcentral describes it as "SSU rRNA". It matches the Rfam family "Eukaryotic small subunit ribosomal RNA", at positions 587 to 975 of the family's 1831-position model. The record is from RNAcentral. Lineage: Eukaryota; Bacillariophyta; Thalassiosirophyceae; Thalassiosirales; Lauderiaceae.
AGCUCCAAUAGCGUAUAUUAAAGUUGUUGCAGUUAAAAAGCUCGUAGUUGAAAUACUGAUUUAGUCGACCGGUCCCGUGCUUUGUCGCGGGCACUCGUGUCGAGCUAGAUCAUUCUUGGUGAUAACCGAUCUGGCAUUAGGUUGUUGGAUUUUUGGUGAAGACCAUCGUUUACUGUGAAAAAAUUAGAGUGUUCAAAGCAGACUUAUGUCGUUGAAUACAUUAGCAUGGAAUAAUAAUAUAGGACUUUUGUACUAUUUUGUUGGUUAGGUGUGAAAGUAAUGAUCAACAGGGACAGUCGGGCAUAUUUGUAUUUCGUUGCUAGAGGUGAAAUUCUUGGAUUUCCGAAAGACAAACUACUGCGAAAGCAUCUAUGAAGGAUGUUUUCAUUA